RNAcentral lists this ribosomal RNA (253 nucleotides) under uncultured bacterium. Its description in RNAcentral is "partial 16S ribosomal RNA". It matches the Rfam family "Bacterial small subunit ribosomal RNA", at positions 524 to 776 of the family's 1533-position model. The record is from RNAcentral.
UACGUAGGGUGCGAGCGUUAAUCGGAAUUACUGGGCGUAAAGCGUGCGUAGGUGGUUCGUUGUGUCUGUGGUGAAAGCCCCGGGCUUAACCUGGGAAUGGCCAUGGAAACUGGCGAGCUGGAGUGUGGCAGAGGGGGGUGGAAUUCCGCGUGUAGCAGUGAAAUGCGUAGAGAUGUGGAGGAACACCGAUGGCGAAGGCAGCCCCCUGGGUCAAAACUGACGCUCAUGCACGAAAGCGUGGGGAGCAAACAGG